This 497-nucleotide ribosomal RNA is filed under the name uncultured bacterium. Its description in RNAcentral is "partial 16S ribosomal RNA". It matches the Rfam family "Bacterial small subunit ribosomal RNA", at positions 28 to 507 of the family's 1533-position model. The record is from RNAcentral.
GAUGAACGCUGGCGGCGUGCCUAAUACAUGCAAGUCGAGCGAACAGACGAGGAGCUUGCUCCUCUGACGUUAGCGGCGGACGGGUGAGUAACACGUGGAUAACCUACCUAUAAGACUGGGAUAACUUCGGGAAACCGGAGCUAAUACCGGAUAAUAUAUUGAACCGCAUGGUUCAAUAGUGAAAGACGGUUUUGCUGUCACUUAUAGAUGGAUCCGCGCCGCAUUAGCUAGUUGGUAAGGUAACGGCUUACCAAGGCGACGAUGCGUAGCCGACCUGAGAGGGUGAUCGGCCACACUGGAACUGAGACACGGUCCAGACUCCUACGGGAGGCAGAAGUAGGGAAUCUUCCGCAAAGGGCGAAAGCCUGACGGAGCAACGCCGCGUGAGUGAUGAAGGUCUUCGGAUCGUAAAACUCUGUUAUUAGGGAAGAACAAAUGUGUAAGUAACUAUGCACGUCUUGACGGUACCUAAUCAGAAAGCCACGGCUAACUACGUG